This 253-nucleotide ribosomal RNA is filed under the name uncultured bacterium. RNAcentral describes it as "partial 16S ribosomal RNA". It matches the Rfam family "Bacterial small subunit ribosomal RNA", at positions 524 to 776 of the family's 1533-position model. The record is from RNAcentral.
AACGUAGGAGACAAACGUUAUCCGGAGUUACUGGGCGUAAAGGGCGUGUAGGUGGUUUCGUAAGUCUGGCGUGAAAUUUUUCGGCUUAACCGGGAAAGGUCGUCGGAUACUGCGGGACUAGAGGACGGUAGAGGCGUGUGGAAUUCCGGGUGUAGUGGUGAAAUGCGUAGAUAUCCGGAGGAACACCAGUGGCGAAAGCGGCCACCUGGACUGCACCUGACGCUGAAGCGCGAAAGCUAGGGGAGCGAACGGG